RNAcentral lists this ribosomal RNA (443 nucleotides) under uncultured bacterium. RNAcentral's name for it is "partial 16S ribosomal RNA". It matches the Rfam family "Bacterial small subunit ribosomal RNA", at positions 338 to 795 of the family's 1533-position model. The record is from RNAcentral.
CCUACGGGGGGCUGCAGUGGGGAAUAUUGGGCAAUGGGCGCAAGCCUGACCCAGCAACGCCGCGUGAAGGAAGAAGGCUUUCGGGUUGUAAACUUCUUUUGUCAGGGACGAAGCAAGUGACGGUACCUGACGAAUAAGCCACGGCUAACUACGUGCCAGCAGCCGCGGUAAUACGUAGGUGGCAAGCGUUAUCCGGAUUUACUGGGUGUAAAGGGCGUGUAGGCGGGACUGCAAGUCAGAUGUGAAAACCACGGGCUCAACCUGUGGCCUGCAUUUGAAACUGGCGGGCUGGAGUUGGAGAGAAGUACGCGGAAUGCGCGGUGUAGCGGUGAAAUGCUUAGAUAUCGCGCAGAACCCCGAUUGCGAAGGCAGCGUACCGGCUCCACACUGACGCUGAGGCACGAAAGCGUGGGUAUCGAACAGGAUUAGAUACCCCUGUAGUC